AGAGUUUGAUCAUGGCUCAGAUUGAACGCUGGCGGCAUGCUUUACACAUGCAAGUCGAACGGCAGCGGGGGCUUCGGCCCGCCGGCGAGUGGCGAACGGGUGAGUAAUGCAUCGGAACGUGCCCAGUGGUGGGGGAUAACUACGCGAAAGCGUAGCUAAUACCGCAUACGCCCUGAGGGGGAAAGCGGGGGAUCUUCGGACCUCGCGCGAUUGGAGCGGCCGAUGUCGGAUUAGCUAGUUGGUGAGGUAAAGGCUCACCAAGGCGACGAUCCGUAGCUGGUCUGAGAGGAUGAUCAGCCACACUGGGACUGAGACACGGCCCAGACUCCUACGGGAGGCAGCAGUGGGGAAUUUUGGACAAUGGGGGCAACCCUGAUCCAGCCAUGCCGCGUGAGUGAAGAAGGCCUUCGGGUUGUAAAGCUCUUUCGGACGGGAAGAAAUGGGGCUCUCUAACAUAGGGCGUCGAUGACGGUACCGUAAGAAGAAGCACCGGCUAACUACGUGCCAGCAGCCGCGGUAA
RNAcentral lists this ribosomal RNA (520 nucleotides) under uncultured Azoarcus sp. RNAcentral describes it as "bacterial SSU rRNA". It matches the Rfam family "Bacterial small subunit ribosomal RNA", at positions 8 to 523 of the family's 1533-position model. The record is from RNAcentral. Lineage: Bacteria; Pseudomonadati; Pseudomonadota; Betaproteobacteria; Rhodocyclales; Zoogloeaceae.